Molecule: ribosomal RNA, 403 nt
Filed under: uncultured bacterium
Lineage: Bacteria
Description: bacterial SSU rRNA
Rfam family: Bacterial small subunit ribosomal RNA
Source: RNAcentral
UGGGGAAUAUUGGGCAAUGGGCGCAAGCCUGACCCAGCAACGCCGCGUGAAGGAUGAAGGCCCUCGGGUUGUAAACUUCUUUUAACAGGGACGAAUUCUGACGGUACCUGUUGAAUAAGCCACGGCUAACUACGUGCCAGCAGCCGCGGUAAUACGUAGGUGGCAAGCGUUAUCCGGAUUUACUGGGUGUAAAGGGCGUGUAGGCGGGACUGCAAGUCAGAUGUGAAAACCAGGGGCUCAACCUCUGGCCUGCAUUUGAAACUGUAGUUCUUGAGUGCUGGAGAGGCAAUCGGAAUUCCGUGUGUAGCGGUGAAAUGCGUAGAUAUACGGAGGAACACCAGUGGCGAAGGCGGAUUGCUGGACAGUAACUGACGCUGAGGCGCGAAAGCGUGGGGAGCAAACA